Molecule: long non-coding RNA, 1059 nt
Organism: Gopherus flavomarginatus (Mexican gopher tortoise)
Lineage: Eukaryota; Metazoa; Chordata; Testudines; Testudinidae
Exons: 3
Source: RefSeq, a predicted model, not a curated record
UUAACUCCAGCUCAUUUUCCUGUUCCCCUUGUUUAGGUGUUCAGAGGAAGUUCUAUAGCAGACGCUUGCAAUCUUUUUCUUUCUCAGUCCCCCCACCAACAUGCUAUAAAAAGUCCACAGCCCACCUGUGCCCCAACAACUGUUUUUCUGCAUAUCCAAUAGAUUAAAAACUGUAUUAAACUGAUAGUUCUACAGUUAAAUACACAUUGAAAAAAGGAUAAGAUAGGACUAAAAUUAAAAAAUGAAUAUUAUGUUCAAGUAUUAAUAUGGCCAAGCCCUGCCGCCCAGGGCAGAAGCCCAAGCCCAAGCCCUGCCACCUGGGGCUAAAGCUGAAGCCUGAGCCUCACUGCACAGCACCCCUGUGGCAUGGGGCCCCAGGCAGUUGCCCUGCUUGCAACCCCAUAAUGCUGGCCCUGCUGAAGCCAGUAGGUUUCAGCAUAUCAUGCAGGAAAAUGAACACGUGUUCUGGUAAUAAAGAAAAGAAAAAGCAAUGUGUCCAAAUAGCAUGAGGUGAAACAGCUUUUAUUUUUUGCAUGCGCUCUGGUUUAUUUUGGCAGACCCCUCCUGAAAUCCAGUUGAGAACCACGGUUCUAUAGGACUGGGUGCUUCAGAGACAAAAGGAGAAAAAUGCUUUUGGGAAGGGCCCCGUUAUUGGUAGCUGCGAGAGCUGCUUUUGACUGAAGAAAUGAAAGAUCUUGGACAUUCUAAUGCUACAGCAUAGCGAGCUCAGAGGAGACCGUGCAGAUUUCAUCAGCAGAGGUGACCAUGGAGUCCCAGAAUCACAAAAGAGCUGCAGCAUGGACUGAACGGGAGGUACUGGAUCUGAUCACUUUACGGGGAGAGGAAUCUGUGCUAUCAGAACUCCACUCCACCCCAGAGGACUGCCAAAGCAACAGAAAGCUGGCAUUCAAUAAGUUCUGAAGUGCAGUGUGGCCUUGUCCUUCCCUCCUCCCCUCCUCCACCACCCCACCUGGUGCUUCCCUCUUCCCCCACCGCUCCUGGAUUACCUUGGCAGUUAUCCCCCCAUUGGUGUGGUGAAUUAAUAAAGAAUGCAUGAAU